UCGGCCCCCGCGGGGCCAGCCGCCCCCGGCCGCUUACCUUGGCCUGGCAUUUCCGAUGACAGGAGAAGCUGCAGACUGCAAGGAGGCGAGACACAGAAAGAAAGUUUAGCCGCGAGAGCCACCUGACCCCAAAUACUGGACUGCCACAGCCAGCUCCCCCAUCUCCUGGAUCUUGAAUUCCCCCUGUCCAGCAUGAGGCCUCCUCAUUCUCAGCAGAACUCAGAAGAGGAGACCGAGGCACACAUGAAGGCUAGGAGAGUCCCAGGACCUCACCACACUCAGUCUUCUGUUGUGGUGUUUCCUUCUGUGGGCCAUGACUGCAGUGUUGAGAUACUCGCCAGGAGCAGCAGAGGCAGGAGAAAUAACAGGAGAGGAGGGAGAGAACGCCAGAGAAGCCCAGAGUGAAGACUUGCCAGGAGCUUGGAAGCCUGCAGUCUCCUGCCCCCUCUACCCCACCAUGUAGCCCAGCCUGCCCUGUGCCUGGUUGCUGCACUAUAUGUAAAAGCUCAGUAAAAGCCUGAGAAAGCCACCGAGGCUCCAGAAUUCCUCCACCCAUCAGCCGGAUCA
Long non-coding RNA from Talpa occidentalis (Iberian mole), 567 nucleotides. RefSeq lists it as uncharacterized. NCBI's taxonomy places the organism in Eukaryota, Metazoa, Chordata, Mammalia, Eulipotyphla, Talpidae. The record is from RefSeq and is a predicted model, not a curated record. The transcript is spliced from 3 exons.